RNAcentral lists this transfer RNA (74 nucleotides) under Stegodyphus mimosarum. It matches the Rfam family "tRNA". From Rfam's summary of the family: Transfer RNA (tRNA) molecules are approximately 80 nucleotides in length. Their secondary structure includes four short double-helical elements and three loops (D, anti-codon, and T loops). The record is from Rfam by way of RNAcentral. Lineage: Eukaryota; Metazoa; Arthropoda; Arachnida; Araneae; Eresidae.
GCCUUCGUGGUGUAAUGGUCAGCAAUACUGAGCCGGUAUUUCAGAGGUCCGUGGUUCGAUUCCCGGCGAAGGAA